CCCUGUCCUCUGUCCUAGGGCUCGGAACCCUUCCCUGCUGCACGCACGCGGUGCUGGCCUACCUGGCAGGGGAACAGCAGACCAAAGCCUCUGAGCCUGGCACUCACCACUGCCUCUGUUCUCAGCGGGAGCCCCAGCACGGAGACCUGACAAGAUGAUGCUGGAUCUUCUGGGACCCUUUCCUCUCCUCCUGGUGCUGCUGGGAUCAUGGGGGCUGGUGCAUCCACUUGGUGCUUGGGCUCAACUCCUCACCAGGGCUCAAAAGUUUGAAAUAUCGCAUGUAAGACCUGGUCCUGUCCAAUGCAACAAUGAAAUGCCUUGUGUCAAUAGUCUUUUUGAGAAAUAUAACAGCUUUGUGAA
This is an RNA transcript of Ailuropoda melanoleuca (giant panda), 360 nucleotides long. RefSeq lists it as uncharacterized. NCBI's taxonomy places the organism in Eukaryota, Metazoa, Chordata, Mammalia, Carnivora, Ursidae. The transcript is spliced from 3 exons. The record is from RefSeq and is a predicted model, not a curated record.